RNAcentral lists this ribosomal RNA (497 nucleotides) under uncultured bacterium. RNAcentral describes it as "partial 16S ribosomal RNA". It matches the Rfam family "Bacterial small subunit ribosomal RNA", at positions 28 to 507 of the family's 1533-position model. The record is from RNAcentral.
GAUGAACGCUGGCGGCGUGCCUAAUACAUGCAAGUCGAGCGAACAGACGAGGAGCUUGCUCCUCGCACGUUAGCGGCGGACGGGUGAGUAACACGUGGAUAAUCUACCUAUAAGACUGGGAUAACUACGGGAAACCGGAGAUAAUACCGGAUAAUAUAUUGAACCGCAUGGUACAUUAGUGAAUGACGGUGUUGCUGUAACGUAUAGAUGGAUCCGCGCCGCAUUAGCUAGUUGGUAAGGUAACGGCUUACCAAGGCAACGAUGCGUAGCCGACCUGAGAGGGUGAUCGGCCACACUGGAACUGAGACACGGUCCAGACUCCUACGGGAGGCAGCAGUGGGGAAUCUUCCGCAAAGGGCGAAAGCUUGACGGAGCAACGCCGCGUGAGUGAUGAAGGUCUUCGGAUCGUAAAACUCUGUUAUUAGGGAAGAACAGAUGUGUAAUUAACUAUGCACGUCUUGACGGUACCUGAUCAGAAAGCCCCGGCUAACUACGUG